UACGAAGGGGGCUAGCGUUGCUCGGAAUUACUGGGCGUAAAGCGCACGUAGGCGGCUCUUUAAGUCGGAGGUGAAAUCCUGGAGCUCAACUCCAGAACUGCCUUCGAUACUGAAGAGCUCGAGUCCGGGAGAGGUGAGUGGAACUGCGAGUGUAGAGGUGAAAUUCGUAGAUAUUCGCAAGAACACCAGUGGCGAAGGCGGCUCACUGGCCCGGUACUGACGCUGAGGUGGCGAAAGCGUGGGGAGCAAACAGG
This 254-nucleotide ribosomal RNA is filed under the name uncultured bacterium. RNAcentral's name for it is "partial 16S ribosomal RNA". It matches the Rfam family "Bacterial small subunit ribosomal RNA", at positions 524 to 776 of the family's 1533-position model. The record is from RNAcentral.